GUGCUCGGAGCGACACACCUCCGUCAGGGUGUCCACGGUAAAGCACUGCGUGCAUGUGCGGCACUUGCGAGUCAUUAUGUGGCGCACCACGUUUCCUUUGGAGCGCGUGUGUAGCCAUUCGAUGAAGGCUUCGUCGAAGUGACACUCACCCACCGCUUGCAAGAAUGGCACCCGUUUUCCUCCUCCACCUGCAGGACGCCCUGACCACCCUGAGUCUGCCCAACUUGUCAGCCAGACACCGAAAGACCAUGGAGAAGUUUGUUAAGUGGCUGCUACCCCACCGACGCCAAAGUCACAUGCUGCCGCCCGACGCGCCUUGCCCGGUCCGUGCCACAGUAAUCCAGAACCAGAAGACGCACCUGAAGGCGCCGUACAAAGAGGCGUACCGCCUCAGCACGAUUCCCACCAUGGUGCGAGCUUCUAACGUUUACUUCCUCUAUCUAGAUUAACCUUACGUUUAGGUUUAAGCCUCCACAAAGCCACUGCAUAUGUUGAGUGUAACGACUGCCAUAUCAAUAAACCGUUUAUCAUUAUAA
Long non-coding RNA from Scylla paramamosain (green mud crab), 536 nucleotides. RefSeq lists it as uncharacterized. The transcript has 2 exons. NCBI's taxonomy places the organism in Eukaryota, Metazoa, Arthropoda, Malacostraca, Decapoda, Portunidae. The record is from RefSeq and is a predicted model, not a curated record.